This is a non-coding RNA of Macaca mulatta (Rhesus monkey), 1801 nucleotides long. The record is from RefSeq and is a predicted model, not a curated record. NCBI's taxonomy places the organism in Eukaryota, Metazoa, Chordata, Mammalia, Primates, Cercopithecidae.
GAACAGCUUAUGUUUUUCUUUCACAAAAAAGCAGCAGGCACCACAGAGAGAGUCGGCUGUCUGGGUUUUUGAUGUGCACAGACCUUGCUUCUCUGAACCGGGAGAGAGAUGUUUGCCCCUCACUGCGGGGGCCCAGCACAGGUGGUUCCUGCUGGCUCCUGUCCUCGGUCAUCUCGUCUUUGGAGUUGUGGGAAUCCCUCCUAGAGUGUGGGAUAGGCUGACAAUCCUGCAUGUUAUUGUUGUGGUGAAUGUUUUCUCUUUAAGGGAUUUCAGUGAGAAAUUUAGAGGAACGUAGAGGAGGCUGUUGGGUAUUUUACCCUGCGUGCUUCCUUUAGAGGCUGUUCUGAGCUAUGGACUUUGCAAUCCUUGAACCCGGGAUUCUUACCAUGUCCUUUUCAACUGGUUUUUUGUUACUGUGUUUGUUCUGAAGACAGUGUCCUGGGGGAAGGAGACUUCUCCUUAACGCGCCGCUUGACUGACAGACACCCUUAAUGUAUGUCAGCUGAGGUCACUUUGUAAGGAAAAUUGAGAUUGUGUUCCCAAGAUUCCAGCCACUUCCCAGGGACACUGGCUCGGUUCUUGUUCUUACCCAGUUCACUGUCUCAGCUUCCAGAGGACAGAACCUUACCUCACCGGAUCCUUAACAGCUCCUCAUUCCCUGCCUCCUCACCACCCUACCACCUCAGCUGCUGGAAACCAUCAUUCUAUUCUCUAUGUCUAUGAAUUCAACUUAUUAGAUCCACAAAGAGGCCUCCGGCUUUGAAGAUGCUCAGGGAGUUGCUCUGGAGGGCUACGUGGAGAGAAUGGGAUUGGCGAGGAAAAGAGCAGAGCUGUAGAUACCACUGGAGCGUGGCCAGGCUGGGUGAGGACCCACACAGAAAGGUGUGGGCAGGCAUGGUGGGUGGGGGCGGGGGAUAAGACAUGCGCCCUGGGUAGUCAGCCAGUGCCCCCGUCACGCCCUGGCUGCAGGUGUCCAGCAUCAGCCGAGUGCACAUCCCACCUUGCAGGCCUCUCCUGGCUCAUGGCCCACUUUCUGUAUGCUACUCCUACCUCUCUGACCUCCUGCUGAGCUCAGCUAUCCUAGCUCAGAGUUUCGCCUUUCUUCUUGAAUACAAUCAGGGUUCUCUCUGUUGACCCUGGACCCCCAUUCUGAACAAUUCCCAUGGUGCUGGCCUUCUCUCAAUUAUCUGAAUUAAACCCCAGACUCACUGCAAGUCUUCAGCCAAGUGAAGACUUCCGGUGGCCUCUGCCACCCUGGCACUCGAGGAAGCAGAUGUUUCUCUCUCUUCCUAUAGUGCUCUUGUCAUGAAUCAUCUCCAGGUCCUCCCAACAGGAGCAGUCAGCUCCUCAUCUCGGCUGUGCUGUAACACUGGUAUCUCUGCAGCCUGGGGAAGAUGACGGUGUUUUAAUGGAGCGUACAUCUCUACAGUAACUGGCCUGGCACAUGAGAGCAGGAACAGCAGCUUCCUUUCCUGCAGGGUAUGGUGCAGAUUGCUUUCCACGCAUUAUUUCUGCUCCUCGCACCACCCUCCCCAACCCGAAAGAUAGAGCAUAUUGUCCUAAUUUUACGGAGCAGAAAACUGGCUCCCAGAGAGCAGCUCUGCUCAGCUAGGGCAUGUCAGAGCACUGCCUGGGACCCACAUCUCCUGACCCCAGGGCCAGGGCACCUCCGGGCCCUCACACGGGUCUUAAUAGAGAUACAUUUUAUAUUUAAACCAGCCCUUGGGCCAAGCAUCGUCCUCAGUCUCUCAGAACUUACUGCAUUUUUUUCUAAAUCCCAAUUCAAAAUUCCUUUAGCAUG